GCCUGGGUGGCUCAGUCGGUUGAGCAUCUGACUUCAGCUCAGGCCAUGAUCUCGCAGUUUGUGGGUUCAAGCCCCGCAUCAGGCU
RNAcentral lists this transfer RNA (85 nucleotides) under Felis catus (domestic cat). It matches the Rfam family "tRNA". Rfam says of the family: Transfer RNA (tRNA) molecules are approximately 80 nucleotides in length. Their secondary structure includes four short double-helical elements and three loops (D, anti-codon, and T loops). The record is from Rfam by way of RNAcentral. Lineage: Eukaryota; Metazoa; Chordata; Mammalia; Carnivora; Felidae.